This 136-nucleotide non-coding RNA is filed under the name Palpitomonas bilix. The record is from RNAcentral.
AUGCAGUGCACUUGUGCUCGAGUACAGCAGUACACUGGCACACUUAUACCCAAUGCAGAGUGCAGAUAGGCAGAGAAGGAAGGAAAAAUUGAAAAGUGGAAAGAAGGAUAUAAAUUUUAAUUUUUUACUUGUUUUU